Molecule: ribosomal RNA, 274 nt
Filed under: uncultured bacterium
Lineage: Bacteria
Description: partial 16S ribosomal RNA
Rfam family: Bacterial small subunit ribosomal RNA
Source: RNAcentral
AUACGCAGGGUGCGAGCGUUACUCGGAGUCACUGGGCGUAAAGCGUCCGUAGGCGGUCGGGGAAGUCGGGUGUGAAAGCCCCGGGCUCAACCUGGGAAGUGCACCCGAUACUGCUCGACUCGAGUGCGGGAGAGGAUGGCGGAAUUCCCGGUGUAGCGGUGAAAUGCGUAGAGAUCGGGAGGAACACCAGUGGCGAAGGCGGCCAUCUGGCCCGCAACUGACGCUGAGGGACGAAAGCGUGGGGAGCAAACAGGAUUAGAUACCCUAGUAGUCC